Saccostrea cuccullata (small rock oyster) is the source of this 781-nucleotide RNA transcript. RefSeq lists it as uncharacterized. The transcript has 5 exons. The record is from RefSeq and is a predicted model, not a curated record. Lineage: Eukaryota; Metazoa; Mollusca; Bivalvia; Ostreida; Ostreidae.
CACAUUCACCGGCAAAUGAUACACUACAUAUUGAACCUCAACAUGUGCAGAGUCAAUAUGUUUCCAGUGCUCCUGCUAAUUUCUAUUCUGGAAGUGUUGCUCUGCCAGACUACCACCCCAGAUGUUUCUUGCUUAAAUCAACAGUUCUCGAUUAUUUUCGACCAAGUUGGCUUACAAGCAAUCAACUACAGAAGUAGAAUCAACGCUAGAUUUUUUGAUCAAAUGAUUUCUAUGCAAUAUGAUAACACAAACCAAAGGAUAAGUUUAAAGUAUUUUCGAAAGAUUCCUUUUGGAGAUGGACCGUGCAUUUCCAAAAGGAUAGAAGAUAAUCGAAUGGGCCAGAGCUUCCAAUUUAUGAACAGUUCUUGCAUGACAACAACAACAACCCAGAAAACUAUCCUGACCAAUCCAUGCAUUUUCCGUGAAAUCCUAACACGUACAAAUGUUAGCUUUGUUUGAUCAGCGAGACUUGGAUCACCAACCAACCAUAUGACGGUCAAUAUUAUCAAAUUACAUAAUGAGCAUCUUUUCAAUGGUAUAGCUGUUUUUUCUUCGAACGAAACCUUCAUUCCCAUAUUCAUUGCGAUAAAAGAUUUCGGUCAUGCAGUUCACCAAAUGACCAUGCUCUUUUUCAACUACACUGUUGGAUUGGUUGAUCCCUCUGACUUCAUAUUCAAUAGAUCGACGUGAAAUCCAGGCAUACCCAUUCAAUGGUUCAUGUAUCCUUGCUACGAAAAAAACGCCUUUGGUCUGUAUAUUCCAACAAAAACAAAUUAAAAAU